GGGGAGUACGGCCGCAAGGUUAAAACUCAAAUGAAUUGACGGGGGCCCGCACAAGCGGUGGAGCAUGUGGUUUAAUUCGAUGCAACGCGAAGAACCUUACCUGGUCUUGACAUCCACGGAAGUUUUCAGAGAUGAGAAUGUGCCUUCGGGAACCGUGAGACAGGUGCUGCAUGGCUGUCGUCAGCUCGUGUUGUGAAAUGUUGGGUUAAGUCCCGCAACGAGCGCAACCCUUAUCCUUUGUUGCCAGCGGUUAGGCCGGGAACUCAAAGGAGACUGCCAGUGAUAAACUGGAGGAAGGUGGGGAUGACGUCAAGUCAUCAUGGCCCUUACGACCAGGGCUACACACGUGCUACAAUGGCGCAUACAAAGAGAAGCGACCUCGCGAGAGCAAGCGGACCUCAUAAAGUGCGUCGUAGUCCGGAUUGGAGUCUGCAACUCGACUCCAUGAAGUCGGAAUCGCUAGUAAUCGUGGAUCAGAAUGCCACGGUGAAUACGUUCCCGGGCC
This 505-nucleotide ribosomal RNA is filed under the name Salmonella enterica. Its description in RNAcentral is "bacterial SSU rRNA". It matches the Rfam family "Bacterial small subunit ribosomal RNA", at positions 875 to 1380 of the family's 1533-position model. The record is from RNAcentral. Lineage: Bacteria; Pseudomonadati; Pseudomonadota; Gammaproteobacteria; Enterobacterales; Enterobacteriaceae.